UACGAGGGGGGCAAGCGUUGUUCGGAAUUAUUGGGCGUAAAGGGCGCGUAGGCGGUGCGGUAAGUCUGUUGUGAAAUCUCCGGGCUCAACUCGGAGUCUGCAUCAGAAACUGCCGUGCUCGAGUGUGGGAGAGGUGAGUGGAAUUCCCGGUGUAGCGGUGAAAAUGCGUAGAUAUCGGGAGGAACACCUGCGGCGAAAGCGGCUCACUGGACCACAACUGACGCUGAGGCGCGAAAGCUAGGGGAGCAAACAGG
Molecule: ribosomal RNA, 254 nt
Filed under: uncultured bacterium
Lineage: Bacteria
Description: partial 16S ribosomal RNA
Rfam family: Bacterial small subunit ribosomal RNA
Source: RNAcentral